CUCGUAGGCGGCCAACUAAGUCGGACGUGAAAUCCCUCGGCUUAACCGGGGAACUGCGUCCGAUACUGGAUGGCUUGAGUAUGGGAGAGGGAUGCGGAAUUCCAGGUGUAGCGGUGAAAUGCGUAGAUAUCUGGAGGAACACCGGUGGCGAAGGCGGCAUCCUGGACCAUUACUGACGCUGAGGAGCGAAAGCCAGGGGAGCAAACG
This 207-nucleotide ribosomal RNA is filed under the name uncultured bacterium. RNAcentral's name for it is "partial 16S ribosomal RNA". It matches the Rfam family "Bacterial small subunit ribosomal RNA", at positions 568 to 774 of the family's 1533-position model. The record is from RNAcentral.